This 403-nucleotide ribosomal RNA is filed under the name uncultured Actinomycetes bacterium. RNAcentral's name for it is "uncultured actinobacterium partial 16S ribosomal RNA". It matches the Rfam family "Bacterial small subunit ribosomal RNA", at positions 355 to 774 of the family's 1533-position model. The record is from RNAcentral. Lineage: Bacteria; Bacillati; Actinomycetota; Actinomycetes.
UAGGGAAUCUUGCGCAAUGGGCGAAAGCCUGACGCAGCGACGCCGCGUGCGGGAUGAAGGCCUUCGGGUUGUAAACCGCUUUCAGCAGGGACGACAUUGACGGUACCUGCAGAAGAAGCCCCGGCCAACUACGUGCCAGCAGCCGCGGUAAUACGUAGGGGGCUAGCGUUGUCCGGAUUUAUUGGGCGUAAAGAGCUCGUAGGCGGUUCGGUAAGUCGACUGUGAAAUCUCCACGCUCAACGUGGAGGGGUCAGUCGAUACUGCCGUGACUCGAGUCCGGUAGGGGAGUGUGGAAUUCCCGGUGUAGCGGUGAAAUGCGCAGAGAUCGGGAGGAACACCCGUAGCGAAGGCGGCACUCUGGGCCGGUACUGACGCUGAGGAGCGAAAGCGUGGGGAGCAAACA